This 443-nucleotide ribosomal RNA is filed under the name uncultured bacterium. Its description in RNAcentral is "partial 16S ribosomal RNA". It matches the Rfam family "Bacterial small subunit ribosomal RNA", at positions 338 to 795 of the family's 1533-position model. The record is from RNAcentral.
CCUACGGGAGGCAGCAGUGGAGAAUAUUGGGCAAUGGGCGCAAGCCUGACCCAGCAACGCCGCGUGAAGGAAGAAGGCUUUCGGGUUGUAAACUUCUUUUCUCAGGGACGAAGCAAGUGACGGUACCUGAGGAAUAAGCCACGGCUAACUACGUGCCAGCAGCCGCGGUAAUACGUAGGUGGCAAGCGUUAUCCGGAGUUACUGGGUGUAAAGGGAGUGUAGGCGGGACUGCAAGUCAGAUGUGAAAACGACGGGCUCAACCUGUGGCCUGCAUUUGAAACUGUAGUUCUUGAGUACUGGAGGGGCAGACGGAAUUCCUAGUGUAGCGGUGAAAUGCGUAGAUAUUAGGAGGAACACCAGUGGCGAAGGCGGUCUGCUGGACAGCAACUGACGCUGAGGCGCGAAAGCGUGGGGAGCAAACAGGAUUAGAUACCCGAGUAGUC